GAUGAAGAAGUAGCGAAAUGCGAUACUUGGUGUGAAUUGCAGAAUCCCGUGAACCAUCGAGUCUUUGAACGCAAGUUGCGCCCGAAGCCAUUAGGCCGAGGGCACGCCUGCCUGGGCGUCACACGUCGUUGCCCCCCCCAUCUACUCCUUCGGGAUUGCGGGGGGCGGAUGAUGGCCUCCCGUGUGCCUCGCCGCGCGGUUGGCAUAAAUGCCAAGUCCUCGGCGACGCACGCCACGACAAUCGGUGGUUGCGAAACCUCGGUUGCCCGUCGUGUGCGGUCGUCGCGCAUCGAGGGCUCGAAAAAAUUGCCGGGUUCCGGCUCGGCUUUCAACGCGACCCCAGGUCAGGCGGGGUUACCCGCUGAAUUUAAGCAUAUCAAUAAGCGGAGGA
RNAcentral lists this unclassified non-coding RNA (391 nucleotides) under soil metagenome. RNAcentral describes it as "partial contains 5.8S ribosomal RNA, internal transcribed spacer 2, and large subunit ribosomal RNA". The stretch from base 1 to 121 matches the Rfam family "5.8S ribosomal RNA", at positions 35 to 154 of the family's 154-position model. The record is from RNAcentral.